This 739-nucleotide long non-coding RNA is filed under the name Ananas comosus (pineapple). RNAcentral describes it as "long non-coding RNA (ACOM_LNC030978)". The record is from RNAcentral. Lineage: Eukaryota; Viridiplantae; Streptophyta; Magnoliopsida; Poales; Bromeliaceae.
GACUAAUCCAUUCCAUAAGACUCGGUGUCAGACUCCUCAGACUCGUUUAUUAAACGAGCCGAACACGAGCUAGUUAAUUAAAAGCUAAAAAAUCCAGCUUGUGUUCGACUUGUUUAUUAACGAGCCAAACACGAGUUGGUUUGUGAACGGCAAGUUAGAUCGUCCGCCCUACUUGCGGUAAUUUGCAGAGUAAUUCGAGUCGUAAAUUAUAAUGAAUUAAAAUUUGAGUAUUAUAGUGUCACGUGUUUAGGGGCGUCAAUGAGUUGAACACGAGCGAGCUAGGGCCGGCUCUUGUUCGGCUCGGUUAAUAAACGAGCUGGACACGAGCUGGCUUAUGAGUUGACCAAUAAAUAAUAAGUUAAAAGGAUUAAAUUGAAUAUAUAUAAAAAAUAAAUAUAAAAUCAUCCAUUAAAUUUUGAUCUAAUAGUUGAAACUUUACAUAUAAAUUAGUCUUUUUAUAAUUGAGCUAGCCUUUAUAUUUUUAUUUUGCUAAAAAUCAAAUAAUAAAAAUAUAAAUUAUAUAUAAUUAUUUAUUUAUAUAUAUAAAUAUAAAUUAAAUACGUUAUAUAAAUAUAAAAUACAUGUAUUCGAGCUGUUAUCGAGCCGAACACGAGCGAGCUGACCCUAACUCGUGUUCGGUUCGUUUAUUAAACAAAUUAAAAAAUUUAGCUCGUGUUGGGCUGGUUUACUAAGCGAGCGAUUCGAUCUCGAGCUUACUCGCGAACAGCGAGCUGGAUUG